CCCUAGUAGCGGCGAGCGAAGCGGGAAGAGCUCAAAUUUAUAAUCUGGCACCUUCGGUGUCCGAGUUGUAAUCUCUAGAAGUGUUUUCCGCGUUGGACCGCACACAAGUCUGUUGGAAUACAGCGGCAUAGUGGUGAAACCCCCGUAUAUGGUGCGGACGCCCAGCGCUUUGUGAUACACUUUCAAUGAGUCGAGUUGUUUGGGAAUGCAGCUCAAAUUGGGUGGUAAAUUCCAUCUAAAGCUAAAUAUUGGCGAGAGACCGAUAGCGAACAAGUACCGUGAGGGAAAGAUGAAAAGCACUUUGGAAAGAGAGUUAACAGUACGUGAAAUUGUUGGAAGGGAAACGCUUGAAGUCAGACUUGCUUGCCGGAGCUUGCUUCGGUUUGCAGGCCAGCAUCAGUUUUCCGGGGUGGAUAAUGACGGUUUGAAGGUAGCAGUCUCGGCUGUGUUAUAGCUUUCCGUUGGAUACAUCCUGGGGGACUGAGGAACGCAGCGUGCUUUUUGCGAAAGACUCGUCUUUUUCACGCUUAGGAUGCGGGAGGGAUG
Molecule: ribosomal RNA, 546 nt
Filed under: Rhodotorula sp.
Lineage: Eukaryota; Fungi; Basidiomycota; Microbotryomycetes; Sporidiobolales; Sporidiobolaceae
Description: partial large subunit ribosomal RNA
Rfam family: Eukaryotic large subunit ribosomal RNA
Source: RNAcentral